GCAUUUUUGAGUUUAUUCCUACAGAACAGGCAACAUUCUUUCUAUUGGUUACAAUUUCCCCUCUGAAAUUCUCCUUUUGUCUAAAUUUUUGGUCCUGAGGUCUGAUACUUUUUCCAACGCCUGUACAUGGCCCACAUGGGGGACUCAGGGGCCUGCUCCAGAGCACACAGCAUCUUUAUAAAAUUUGUUAAGUUGUGAAAUUGUGAAUGCAAAAAGGCUUGCCAAACAAAAACAUGCUCAUGUUUUA
Molecule: non-coding RNA, 247 nt
Organism: Paramuricea clavata
Lineage: Eukaryota; Metazoa; Cnidaria; Anthozoa; Malacalcyonacea; Plexauridae
Source: the annotation of a GenBank genome assembly